Molecule: long non-coding RNA, 1129 nt
Organism: Leopardus geoffroyi (Geoffroy's cat)
Lineage: Eukaryota; Metazoa; Chordata; Mammalia; Carnivora; Felidae
Exons: 2
Source: RefSeq, a predicted model, not a curated record
UCGGACGCUCAACCGGCUGAGCCCCCCAGGAGCCCCGGGACUGUGAUUUGUUUUUUGUUUUUUGUUUUUUUAAUGGUCAAAUCAGUUUCACUGAAUGGGAUACGCUUCUCCAUUUUCAGCAGUUGACGGACAUUUGGGUUGUUUCCAUUUCUGGGCUGUUAUGCACGAGGCUGCUGGGUGCAUUCGUGUCCGUGUGACUUUUGUCAACAGACGCUCUGGUGUCUACCUAGCAGUGGCAUUGCUGAGUCGUGCGGUAGCUCUGGGGGUGGGGGGACUCUGGACGAACCCCCAGGCUGCUCCCCGAAGGGCUGCACCGUUUUGCGUUCCCGCCAGUGGUACAGGGAUUUCUCCACACCCUCCCCGACGUUUGUCACUGUCUUUAUUAUUACGACCACCCUAGGCGGCUGAGCUCCUGGCUUCCCCCUUGGCCCCUCUCCAGCCUCACAUCCUCUUCUUGGCUGCCUGCAGCGCUGGGGACACAGAGAGCGCCCAGAGCGACGACGACACAGUACGUCACGGUGAGCGCAUGGGGCUUCGCCUCUAGGUCUAAGCUCUUGGAGCUUCACUGAUGGGCCGGUGGCCUCACGGAGGCCACAUCCCGGUAGAAUUGAAACCGCUUUGUGAGCGGCAGAAAGAGGGACAGCUGGGGAGGAAGAGAGAAAAGAGGAAAUGCCUUAGAGCCGCCACCUGGAGAUUCAGAGCCCGGAGCCCGCGGGAGAGUGUGCUGUCCCCUGCCGGGGGGUGAAGACCGAACACAAAAGGGAAGGGAGGGUACAAAACAACGCUGUCCCUGCUGUCCCUCCUUUGCUACAUUCCGCCCCUGAAUUCCCAGCUCGGGAGCCCUUUAUUUACCGAAAACGCGUCCAGGAUCCACGGCCUUAGACACUUGGUUCGUGUGUCCUCUUGCGAGCAUUCUGAGACCCCCUCGGAACAAAUGUUGACCGAUGGCUCUGCUGUCCCUCGGGAGCUCUUCUCUCUGGGAAUACCCUCUCUUUCCAAGUAGAUGAACCAGACUCAAAACGGAUAUGGUUAUAAUCCACUUUGAACACCGUUCCCCUCCCCCAUCCUGUUCUUUUCCCUUGUCAGAGAAACUGCAAUCAAGAAUCUCAUUGCGUUUCUCUGCCAUUCA